Molecule: long non-coding RNA, 81 nt
Organism: Astyanax mexicanus (Mexican tetra)
Lineage: Eukaryota; Metazoa; Chordata; Actinopteri; Characiformes; Acestrorhamphidae
Exons: 3
Source: RefSeq, a predicted model, not a curated record
GUGUGUGUGCUUGUUAGCUAGGUUAAGUGUGUGUGUGUGUGUUAGUUAGCUAGGUUAAAUGUGUGUGUGUGUCUGUGUGUU